GACAGAGGGUGCAACCGUUGUUCGGAAUUACUGGGCGUAAAGCGCGUGUAGGCUGCUCUGCAAGUCGGAUGUGAAAGCCCUGGGCUCAACCUAGGAAGUGCACUCGAAACUGCGGAGCUCGAGUCUCGGAGAGGAUCGCGGAAUUCUCGGUGUAGAGGUGAAAUUCGUAGAUAUCGAGAGGAACACCGGUGGCGAAAGCGGCGCGCUGGAUCUCACCUGACGCUGAGGCGCGAAAGCCAGGGGAGCAAACGGG
RNAcentral lists this ribosomal RNA (253 nucleotides) under uncultured bacterium. RNAcentral's name for it is "partial 16S ribosomal RNA". It matches the Rfam family "Bacterial small subunit ribosomal RNA", at positions 524 to 776 of the family's 1533-position model. The record is from RNAcentral.